Molecule: long non-coding RNA, 3758 nt
Filed under: Centruroides sculpturatus (bark scorpion)
Lineage: Eukaryota; Metazoa; Arthropoda; Arachnida; Scorpiones; Buthidae
Description: uncharacterized LOC111639002
Source: RNAcentral
UAUUAAUAUAUAUUAAAAACUAUAUCAUAAUAUAAAAUGAAAUGAUGAAAACUAACAAUACUUUUAUCACCAAUCAUUGUUUUGCUUCAGCAAACUGGGCCUGCCAGCUUCUUUUCUAGUUUCUUCUAAAAAUGAGUUUUGCUACCUCUUUUCUUUGGAGUCAGUUUUGGAAUGCUAUUUGGUUAUUGCAAUGGACAAUUUGUCUUCCGUAAUUACCCUUUGGGUAACAAAAUACUGAUAAAAUAAUAACACUCUGCCGUAAUUUUUUACUCUUCUUUCACAUACUCAUCAUCACAUUGGUGCAAUUGUCAAAUUCAGCAUGUUCAAUGUUGAUUAUAUCUGUGUUUUUGUGCCUUUUGAUAUAAAUACCUUUUAUGAGAGAUGACUAUAUGCAUGUUGGCUUAUAUUAAUCUCAUUAAUUUUAUUUAUUUUUAUAUUUUAAUUUAUAACUAUUUGUUCAGUUACUAUUAUUUUUUAUUUUUUUAUGUGUCAGUAUUAUUUUUAUUGUUUUUCUUUUGCCCAUUAUGCACCCACUUCUCCACUUUAGCCUUGUUUCAUAUACAAGUAUGGAUGAAAAUAUACAAGAGAGGAUAAAAUAAUGACUGCCAAGCCUAAUAUUAUUCAUGAAUGGUGCUAUUAAUACAUGUUGUUUUAGUAUUCCUCUCUUUUGAGAAGAGGAAUGAAAGUGAAAGAUGAAGGUGAAUGAUUUUAAAUAUUUUAAGAUAAAUGGAAAAGUACUAAAGAAGAUUUUGCUGAUUAUAAUUUUUUGAAAUUAGUGCACACUAUGUUCUAAUUAUGCAUUGAAGAAGUGAAUAAUUAAUGGCAAUAACUUUUAGAUAAAUUAAAUAACAAAAGUCUAUUAUAAACAAAAUUUAUUUAAAUGAGCAAUUGACACAGUUUGUGUUUAUUUGUUGUUACACUUUAAGAUAUUUAUAUUAUUUCAUAGUUAUAAAUUAUCAAAUAUAACAGCAAACAACGAAAUGCUAAACAUUUAAUUCAUUGAAAACAAUCAUGUAAUGGAUAUUAAGAUAUAAGAAGGUUUGACGGAAAUUGACAAACCGUAUUGUUUAUUAAAGUGGAAACCGUGUGAACUUUUUGAUAAGCCUUCUUAUGAGUUAUCACAUUGUUUCAUACUGUUGUGAACAUUUAACAUUUUAUAACAGUUAAUGUUUUAGAUAUUAAUGUAUAAAACAUUUAUUUAAUUAAAUUUUAAAAUUUGUCACUUUAACAAAUUCUUAUAUCAACAUCAUAUGAGAAACUAUAAUAUAAGUUAAAAUAUUAAAAAAAAUAUUCAUAAAGUCAUUUUUCAUAAUUUAUUUGAUAUAUUGAUCAUGAAUAUAGUCAGGGAUUUAUUAAGAUUUGAAAUAAUAAUAGAAGCAUAUUCAAUAUUGAAUAUUAAAUAUUGUAUGCUUCUUGAAAUAUAUUGCUGAAGUGUGUGUGUUUUUAUUAAAAUAGUUGUUUAUGACUGUGUGGCCAAUGGAGAUUACUUUCACUCAACCAAGGAAUUAACUGUAACAUCAUUGGAUUUAGUCAUGAAAUAUUAUACAAUGGAAAUUAUUAUUAUUUUCUCAUGUCAAAGAAUUGAUUUUUAUGUGAACAAGAAUAUAUUCCAGCCUUCCACAACCUUAUUUUGGUGUUCUGGGAAACAAAAUUCAGACUUAGAAUACUUUUAGUAACAUAAGAAAAAAAUAAUAAAAAUAAGAUACUGGAUAAUAAACCAAUAAUAUACAAUAAUCAUCAAUGAAUUUAAGUGAUAUUGUUGUACAACAUAUUAUUUUUUAAGGUGUAAUAUAAGGAUUAUCAUACAUAAUUAUAAACUUAUCAUACAAAUUUAACAUAAAAUUUAUAAAUUUUAAACAAACACGAGCUCUUCUUCAAAAUGCCUAAAGUUUGAUUUAUGAGAUACAUUUGUAAUUUAUUAUUUUUUUUUUCAAAAUAUGUAAAUGAUUUAACCAAUUGAAAAUAACAAUUUAGUUUGUAGUUUUUAACAAUACUCCUAAGGAAAAUGAACCAUUUCAGUUAUUUCUGUCAUUAAAAAAUAAGUACAAACUCGAGGAAUUUAUACAUGAGCCUGUUUACAGAAUUCUCUUGGAUUGAUUGAAAUAUAUCCAAUAAUAAAUCCAGUAAUAAGGAUUAUAGAUAAAUUUCUUUGAAAAACACUCCCCACAUUAUCACCUUCCAUUUUUAUAAUUCAAGCGUUUUAAUCUAAACUAUGCAAUUAUUAAUUAUAUUGUUCUAGGAAAGUAUGAAUAGGUGACGGAAUGAAUGUUUGCAAUUGUUGGAACUUGUUAUUUGGUUUCCAACUAUUGAAAGUAAUUAUUGAUAUUUGUUUAUAGAUAGAAAGUAUAGAUAUAAAAUUAAUAAUUAUUCCAACAAGUUUUAUUGAAUCAACAUUAAUCUUGUUGAAAUUUACAAAUUCAAAUAUAAUAUCAUCAUCAUGUGUUAAUAUAUAUGUACCUUGGUUUUAAUUAAGGGAAUAUUUAUGCAUUUAUAAAUAUCUGUGAAAUACAUUUACGGAUGUGUGCGUACUUGAUAUGUGUAAAACGACUUUGUUGUUAAAUAUUGUGAAAUUUUGUGAUUAAUGUAAUCGAUAUGUUGUUAUUCAAAUGCUUCUAUACAAUUAAUUGUAAUUAAAAUUGUACAAAAAUUCGUUUUUAUUUCAGACCACUGUUCUAAAUUUUGUACUAAUGCGCUGUACAGAAUGUGACGUUUUAUAAUUUAGAGAAUACCAUUAAUUUGUAUAGAGAGCACCGUUGUUAAUAUAACUUACAUAGAAGAUGGUAUAACUAUUUGAUAAUGCUGAACAUGCUCAAGUACUAAAUUUAGAACAGACUAAGUGUAUUUAUUUUAUUUCUAUAUUUGUUACUUUGAUAUUUUGCAAUACUAUUUGUGUAAGAAUUUAUAUUGUCUGGACAAUAGCUAAAAUGUUUGGAAACUUUUUGUGCUUCUUGAAAGAUGUUUUUAAAAACAAUAUAAUUUUUUGCAAAUUUUAGUAAAUGAUAUUGUAUAUGACAAACAUAUCAGUGAAAAUAUAGUUUAAAUUAAUUGGAUAUAUAUAAAUAUAUAUACAUAUAUGACAAUAUUGGAAGAUAGUUUGUGUUGUUUUCCGAUAAACAAUGGUUACUAUAUCCAGUUGUAAUUCAGUAUUAUCAUAUAUAAAAAAAUAAAUACACACAAAUGCACUUAGAUGCAAUAUACCAUCCAUCGUAUCACAAGUUUUCAAAGAAGAAAACAAGUCAAGAAUUAUUCUUUUGUUGAAAUUAAAAUUUUGACGGAAAAUUAGAAAUAAAAUUGGUCUGCAGUUUUAAUAUCCAUAUGAAUUUUCAAAUCGGUGUGUCUUGGAUUUAUAGAUAUAAUUCUAAUUAAAAUUUGGAAAAUAUAAAAAUUGUAUUAUUGGUUUGUCUGUUAUUUAGAAAGUUAGAAGACUCCUCAAUGGAGUUCUUCAUUAUUUAUUUAUUUAUUACAAAUCUCUUAGUGUAUCGUUAAUUAUAAUUUUGCAAAGUAUUGAUAUUACCAGUACUGCAUUAAUUUUUAUGAAUUUACUCAGUAUAGAUUUACAAUCAUUACAAUAUGGAAGUAAAUGUCUAGAUAAAACAGUAUUUAUUUCAAGACAGUAAUGUAAAUACAGUAUUAAGUUUCUGAAAAUUCAUAAUAAUGAAAAUAAAAUUACAAUAAAAAAAAUUUCAAGAAUUAUCCUCUGUGUUGUAAUCCAGUAUAUGUCAUUUAUGUAACUAAUGUCAAAAUUAUAAAAAGUUAUA